RNAcentral lists this ribosomal RNA (497 nucleotides) under uncultured bacterium. RNAcentral describes it as "partial 16S ribosomal RNA". It matches the Rfam family "Bacterial small subunit ribosomal RNA", at positions 28 to 507 of the family's 1533-position model. The record is from RNAcentral.
GAUGAACGCUGGCGGCGUGCCUAAUACAUGCAAGUCGAGCGAACGGACGCGAAGCUUGCUUCUCUGAUGUUAGCGGCGGACGGGUGAGUAACACGUGGAUAACCUACUUAUCAGUCUGGUAUAAUUUCGGGAAACCGGAGCAAAUACCGGAUGAUAUUUUGCACCGCAUGGUUCAAUAGUGAAUGACGGUCUUGCUGUCACUUCUCGAUGGAUCCCGGCUGCAUUAGCUGGUUGUUAAGGUAACGGCUUACCACGGCAACGAGGCAUGGCCGACGUGAGAGGGGGAUCGGCGACACUGGAGCGGAGACACGGUCCAGACUCCUGCGGGAGGCAGCAGUAGGGAAUCUGCCGCAGUGGUCGGAAACCUGACGGAGCAACGGCGCGUGUGAGAUGAAGGUCUUCGGAGCGGGAAACUGUGUUAUGAGGGAAGAACAGAUGUGGAAUGAACCGUACACAGCGUGACGGUACCUAAUCAGAAAGCCACGGCUAACUACGUG